UUGCAAAAUGGCGAGGGGGGAGGUGACACCAAGCUCGAUCAGAAACUAUGCCACUGGUGAAGAGGUAUAUUGAGCCCUGCGUGGCCCAGUGAGGUUACUAGAGAAUUGGAAGAGUCUCAAAUCAGCAUCCUGCACAUGGUUAUCAAACCAUUGUGAAGUCUUAGUAAGUGGUCAGUGGCUCUGGUGGGCUUGCCCAGUUAGUGUCUUAACAGGCACUAGGCAGUUACUUGAUAUUUUCCCAUUAUGAUAUGAAAAGUUUUUUGUUUUUUGUUUUUUUAGGGCUGUACCCGUGGCAUAUGGAGGUUCCCAGGCUAGGGUUCAAAUUGGAGCUGUAGCUAUAUGCAGGCCUACACCACCCACAGCUAUAGCAACUUGGGAUCCGAGCUGCGUCUGCAACCUACGCCACAGCUCACGAGAGUGCUGGAUCCUUAACCCACUGAGUGAGGCCAGGGAUUGAACCUGUGUCCUCAUGGAUACUAGUUGUGUUCUUAACCCACUGAGCCACAAUGGGAACUCCAAAAAACAGUCUUUAUUUCAGACUAGAGAGUGAUGAGCCUAAUCUCUCUCUUUCCCCGUCUCCCAUUUUUGCAGAUGAUAUCUUGCCCACCAUAAUAGUUGGUGUAGAAAAUGGAUUUGAAUCCAAGCCCAAUAUUGUUUCUUCCACCUAGUGCUUCCUCUAGAUUCCACCUAAGUCCAAGGAGGCGAUGUGAGACAGAAACAUUUUUAUUCCACAUGGAAAGAUUAUAAUAGCCUCUGACAUUGUGCUCCUCUGAUGAAGGAAAUGUCCAUGGUAUAAAUUUUUAUUGUGCAUAAAAUCACCUGGGAAGCUUGUUAAAAAUGCAGAUUCCUAGGCAGCUAGAAGCCUUGUCAUUGGUCCAGAGCAACAUGAAGACCUACUUGUCACUUACACUGAGGCUUCCUGCCCAGUGGGUUCACCAGCAAGCCAGAAGGAAGCAUCACUGCCAUGGAUGUCCUUGUGAGGCAGUUGUGAAGCCUUGGAGAGCUUUAGAAACAACUUGUCAAGUUUUCACCACAAAUACCAUUGGAGUUACAAUUGGAGUCUCACUGAAUUAUAGAGUAAUUUUUGGAGAGCUAUCAUCUUUAUAAUCUUCUCAUACAUGAAUGUGCUUCUCUGCUGCCUUUUGAGCUGCCAGGCACUGUGCUGGGUGAUGGGGAUAUGGAGAUGAAUUAGACACAGUUUCUGCCCUCAAGGAGUUCUCAGUCUAGUGAGAGAGUUCGACUUGUACACAGAUAAUUACAGUAUGGUAUGCUCUACAAUGGAGGUAUGUACAAGAUACUCUGGGGUUCAGAAGAGAAAUCAUUUGACUGAAUCUGGAGAUGCAGAGGUUGGAGGAACUGAUGCUUAAGUUGAUUAUUUUAAAAAGUAAAGGUCAAAUAGGCAGAAAACAGAGGAAGUACCUUCUAAGCAAAGAUAUGAACAUUAGAAAUGGAAUGAUAAAUUGAGGGACUACAAGUAGUUUAUGACAUUAGGUUGGAAAUGUGGGCUGAGAAUAAAUCCUUAUAUAGUAUGCUGUGAAAUUUGGAUUUCAUUUUGAGUGUUUUAAAAAGGGGAUGCUUUUGAUGGUCACUCUGACAGUAGUAUGGAGUAAGUUAUGGAAAAUUUUCAAAUUUGGAUAGGGAGAUCAGUUAGAUGAUAAAUGAUCAUCUUAGCCAGAAUAAGUGGGAAUGAAGAAGGAAUAACCUUUUAAAUAAGGGGUUAUACAAAACAUGGAUAUAGAAGUUCCCGUUGUGGCGUCAGCAGUAAUGAUCCUGACUAGUAUCCAUGAUAAUGUGGGUUCGAUCCUUGGUCUUGGUCAGCAGGUUAAGGAUCGGGCGUUGCUGUGAGCUGUGGUGUAGGUGGCAGAUGCAGCUUGGAUCCCAAGUUGCUGUGACUGUGCGGAGGCUGGCAGCUGCAGCUCCGAUUCAACCCCUAGCCUGGGAACUUCCAUAUGCCGCAGGUGCGGCCCUAAAAAGAAAAAAAA
RNAcentral lists this long non-coding RNA (1982 nucleotides) under Sus scrofa (pig). RNAcentral describes it as "lncRNA (ENSSSCG00005032797.1)". Lineage: Eukaryota; Metazoa; Chordata; Mammalia; Artiodactyla; Suidae. The record is from RNAcentral.